GGGCGCAGCCUGAUCCAGCAAUGCCGCGUGCAGGAUGAAGGCCUUCGGGUUGUAAACUGCUUUUGUACGGAACGAAAAGUCUUGGGUUAAUACCCGGGGAUCAUGACGGUACCGUAAGAAUAAGCACCGGCUAACUACGUGCCAGCAGCCGCGGUAAUACGUAGGGUGCAAGCGUUAAUCGGAAUUACUGGGCGUAAAGCGUGCGCAGGCGGUUUUGUAAGACAGAGGUGAAAUCCCCGGGCUCAACCUGGGAACUGCCAUUGUGACUGCAAGGCUGGAGUUUGGCAGAGGGA
Molecule: ribosomal RNA, 293 nt
Filed under: uncultured bacterium
Lineage: Bacteria
Description: partial 16S ribosomal RNA
Rfam family: Bacterial small subunit ribosomal RNA
Source: RNAcentral